UUUCCUUAUCAAAAGUGCAAUCUCCAAAGAAAGAAAACAAAGAAUAUAGAGUCAUUACAAGCUGAUAAGAUCAUAGAGCACAAUGAUUCAACCAAAAUAAAGAUGAUAAACUAAGAAAUAAUGGCUCUGCUCUCCACCUUCACUUGUAGAGCUGUUGAUUCUUUCUUUCCUCUUAAAAUCACCUCUCCAAAAGCUUCAUUUUCAGCCCCAGAUCUCUACCUCUAAGGAAAAAUCUACCAAGUUUUCUUUUUGGUGUCCAUCUAGGUUUUUUCUUUUUCUCUAACAGCUCUUAGAUAUACCAGCAUGCCCUAAGUGUCUCAAUGGUGGGUAUUUAUAUGCCCCCCUGUUAUUGCCCACAUGUCCCUCAUUUUAAGUGAAGCUUCCAACUGGACACAGACCGUCCAGGUUUCGGUCUGGUUCCUGCACGAGCCGUAUCACCGUGUGAUUUACUUCUCUAAAGUUGAAACCCGCAUGACAUGGACCAUGCAGGUUUUUCUUCAUGAUUCUACACGGUCCAUGUGGUGAGGCAGUAGCUUCCCCUGAUAUUGACACGGAUCAUGUGGCUUUCCUUCACUAGUCCGCGCAGGUCGUGUCACAAGAUAGUAGCUUUUUUCAUUAGAAUGACACAGACUCUGCGAGUUUUGUGCAUAAUCUUGCAUGAUCCGUGCUAAACACUUAUCACAAAAAAAUCUUGGAUUCUUUAUGCUUUCCAUCCCUUCUUUCACACCCUAUUUUCUCGAUUUUUCCUUUUUUUUUUGCUCGAUCCUACAAGAACGAAAAACAAAAGUGUGAAAGUGGUCAUAUUCAUAUAGUUUAGGUAAAAAAUAAGUCUAAUUUGUAGGUAAAAUACCCCUACAUCAAGCACUUAGGGGGAUUAUAGUACAGUCUUGAGAAAGGAAAUAAAAUCGUCAAUUUCUAAUGCAAGUCAAGCAAGGAAACCCUCUAAAGCAUACUCCUUUAUGCCUAUGAAGAAAAGACGGUUAAUGACACAAAUAAUAAAAAAUGUUGGAACUCAAAACAAAUAGUUAAGGACGCACGUUUUUUCCAUGGUAAGGGCGUACACACUUACCUUCAAAAUGCAUGGCCUAACCUCUUAGUACAUGAGUUCUUAAACAAUUGUGCAUGGCUUAAGGACGUGCUCCUCUUCGAUAUAGACGUGCGCACUUACCUCUAUGCGCACUUCUAUACCCCUUUCAGACGUAUGCCCUUAAGUCCCAGUUUUUAACAGUGGUUUACAGCAUUGUGGACAUCUUAAAACAUGCAUCAAGCACUCAUUUUCCAACCCAUAAAGGAAUCAACAACCAGAGUAACGCAAUCUAGGGUCCCUGAGAGUCCGAAAUCGACUGGUUCAUGAACAUAGAACGUUCAUAUCUAAAGCAUCGCACAAACGCAUUGUCAUACCAAUCAAAGAUUCAUUGUGCCGUUUAACCCUGGUUAAUCGACUAACUCCCAUUCUGAACCCCUAUGUUCUAACGCUC
RNAcentral lists this long non-coding RNA (1478 nucleotides) under Ricinus communis (castor bean). Its description in RNAcentral is "long non-coding RNA (RCOM_LNC002801)". The record is from RNAcentral. Lineage: Eukaryota; Viridiplantae; Streptophyta; Magnoliopsida; Malpighiales; Euphorbiaceae.